Molecule: long non-coding RNA, 528 nt
Organism: Homo sapiens (human)
Lineage: Eukaryota; Metazoa; Chordata; Mammalia; Primates; Hominidae
Exons: 2
Source: RefSeq, a predicted model, not a curated record
UAAAGAUGUUUUAGAAAAACUUGGGAAUUUAUUAGCCUUAUAUAGAGAUACACAUAAUUCCAGUAGAAUACAGUUAUAUAGAUAGAAAUUAUGCAUAUUUACUAGUAAAAAAUCUGCUAAAUGAAUAAACAGCCCUUGGUGUUGCUGCCCAAAGGCCUUUGGUGAAACCUGAUGGGUUUUUCUGUACCACAGAAUAGUCAAGGAGAGCCUCUGGAGAAGAGCAUGCGGUCUGGAUUUGGAAGCCUCAGUUUGAUUUCUGGCUUUGUCACUUACCUUAGGCAUUCAAUAUAGGUGGCUUCCAGACAAUCUUUCCAUACUUGGUGGUUAGAGCAGAAGAGAUUCAUGAAGAGCACUGCCCUUUGAAACAAAAUCUCAUAUUCAGAAAACUGAUGCCAAACACCAAGUAGCAUGAUUUCACUCUGAAGCAGUGUUUCAGCCAUUGCCCUGGAAUGGUUUUAAAGCAAGUGAUAUACUGCUGAAAGUGCUGCCUUUGAUAUUAAAUGUUCAUUAAAAAUCUUCACUAAGACA